Schistosoma rodhaini is the source of this 45-nucleotide non-coding RNA. NCBI's taxonomy places the organism in Eukaryota, Metazoa, Platyhelminthes, Trematoda, Strigeidida, Schistosomatidae. The record is from Rfam.
AUCCAGCUGACGAAUCCCAAAUAGGACGAAACGUGCGUCCUGGAU